CGGGGCGUGGCCUAGUUGGCUCAAGGCGUCGGGCUGGGGGUCCGAAGAUCGCAGGUUCAAAUCCUGUCGCCCCGACCA
RNAcentral lists this transfer RNA (78 nucleotides) under Patescibacteria group bacterium. Its description in RNAcentral is "tRNA-Pro". It matches the Rfam family "tRNA". Rfam says of the family: Transfer RNA (tRNA) molecules are approximately 80 nucleotides in length. Their secondary structure includes four short double-helical elements and three loops (D, anti-codon, and T loops). Further hydrogen bonds mediate the characteristic L-shaped molecular structure. tRNAs have two regions of fundamental functional importance: the anti-codon, which is responsible for specific mRNA codon recognition, and the 3' end, to which the tRNAs corresponding amino acid is attached (by aminoacyl-tRNA synthetases). tRNAs cope with the degeneracy of the genetic code in two manners: having more than one tRNA (with a specific anti-codon) for a particular amino acid; and 'wobble' base-pairing, i.e. permitting non-standard base-pairing at the 3rd anti-codon position. The record is from RNAcentral. RNAcentral also lists the same sequence under 1 other name.